This 253-nucleotide ribosomal RNA is filed under the name uncultured bacterium. RNAcentral's name for it is "partial 16S ribosomal RNA". It matches the Rfam family "Bacterial small subunit ribosomal RNA", at positions 524 to 776 of the family's 1533-position model. The record is from RNAcentral.
UACGGAGGGGGCUAGCGUUGUUCGGAAUUACUGGGCGUAAAGGGCGCGUAGGCGGAUAUUUAAGUUAGAGGUGAAAGCCCAGGGCUCAACCCUGGAAUAGCCUUUAAUACUGGAUAUCUUGAGUUCGGGAGAGGUGAGUGGAACUCCGAGUGUAGAGGUGAAAUUCGUAGAUAUUGGGAAGAACACCGGUGGCGAAGGCGGCUCACUGGCUCAUUACUGACGCUCAGGCGCGACAGCGUGGGGAUCAAACAGG